Molecule: ribosomal RNA, 512 nt
Filed under: uncultured bacterium
Lineage: Bacteria
Description: bacterial SSU rRNA
Rfam family: Bacterial small subunit ribosomal RNA
Source: RNAcentral
UUCUGGCUCAGAACGAACGCUGGCGGCGCGUCUUAAGCAUGCAAGUCGAACGGCAAGAGGUAGCAAUACCUCCUAGAGUGGCGGACUGGUGAGUAACACGUGGGUGACAUACCCUUCAGAUGGGGAUAGCUAUUAGAAAUAGUAGAUAAUACCGAAUACGAGCACAGGGGUUAGAGAUCUGUGAGGAAAGGAGCUAAGGCUCCGCUGAAGGAAUGGCCUGCGGCCCAUUAGCUAGUUGGUGAGGUAAGAGCCCACCAAGGCGAUGAUGGGUAUCCGGCCUUAGAGGGUGAACGGACACAUUGGGACUGAGAUACGGCCCAGACUCCUACGGGAGGCAGCAGCUAAGAAUAUUCCGCAAUGGACGAAAGUCUGACGGAGCGACGCCGCGUGGAUGAAGAAGGCCGGAAGGUUGUAAAAUCCUUUUGAAACUGAAGAAUAAGCGUUGUAGGGAAUGACAGCGUGGUGACAGUAGGUUUUGAAUAAGCAACGGCUAAUUACGUGCCAGCCGCCGC